GAUGAACGCUAGCGGGAGGCUUAACACAUGCAAGUCGAGGGGCAGCACGAGGUAGCAAUACUUUGGUGGCGACCGGCAGACGGGUGAGUAACGCGUAUGUAACCUACCCUGUACAGGGGGAUAACCCGGAGAAAUUCGGACUAAUAUCCCAUAGAAAUAUCGGAAGGCAUCUUUUGAUAUUUAAAGUUCCGGCGGUACGGGAUGGGCAUGCGUAACAUUAGCUAGUUGGUAAGGUAACGGCUUACCAAGGCUUUGAUGUUUAGGGGUCCUGAGAGGGUGAUCCCCCACACUGGUACUGAGACACGGACCAGACUCCUACGGGAGGCAG
Molecule: ribosomal RNA, 328 nt
Filed under: uncultured Bacteroidota bacterium
Lineage: Bacteria; Pseudomonadati; Bacteroidota
Description: bacterial SSU rRNA
Rfam family: Bacterial small subunit ribosomal RNA
Source: RNAcentral